GUCUAUGGCCAUGCUACCCUGAACAAGCCCGAUCCUGUCUGAUUUCGGAAGCUAAGGGUCAGGCCUGGUUAGUACGUGGAUAGGAGACCACCUAGGAAGACCACGUGCUGCUGUAG
This 116-nucleotide ribosomal RNA is filed under the name Pteropus alecto (black flying fox). The record is from RNAcentral. Lineage: Eukaryota; Metazoa; Chordata; Mammalia; Chiroptera; Pteropodidae.